GUAUGAUGCGUAUGGCAUUCAUUACCAAUGGAUGAACAUAUAUAAACCCACCUGCGUACCGCUCCUGUUGCUUCCGUGGGGCUGUGACCAACGUCGCUGCCGACGCGGAUGGCUCGCUCUGGCCAUCCGAAGGCAAGUCCCCACGGGAGGUAUAACAUAAACUUACUUGCACCUCCAUGCUCUUAGUCUGUACAUAAUCCAUAAACAUAUUA
RNAcentral lists this unclassified non-coding RNA (212 nucleotides) under uncultured Pyronemataceae. RNAcentral describes it as "sequence contains ITS1". The record is from RNAcentral. Lineage: Eukaryota; Fungi; Ascomycota; Pezizomycetes; Pezizales; Pyronemataceae.